RNAcentral lists this ribosomal RNA (377 nucleotides) under uncultured soil bacterium. RNAcentral describes it as "bacterial SSU rRNA". It matches the Rfam family "Bacterial small subunit ribosomal RNA", at positions 26 to 399 of the family's 1533-position model. The record is from RNAcentral.
AGAUUGAACGCUGGCGGCAUGCCUUACACAUGCAAGUCGAACGGCAGCACGGGAGCAAUCCUGGUGGCGAGUGGCGAACGGGUGAGUAAUACAUCGGAACGUGCCCAAUCGUGGGGGAUAACGCAGCGAAAGCUGUGCUAAUACCGCAUAAGAUCUACGGAUGAAAGCAGGGGAUCGCAAGACCUUGCGCGAAUGGAGCGGCCGAUGGCAGAGUUAGGUAGUUGGUGAGGUAAAGGCUCACCAAGCCUUCGAUCUGUAGCUGGUCUGAGAGGACGACCAGCCACACUGGGACUGGAGACACGGCCAGACCUCCGUACGGGAGGCAGCGAGUGGGGAUUUGGACAAGUAGGACGAAAGCCUGAUCCAGCCAGUCGCCG